This 465-nucleotide ribosomal RNA is filed under the name uncultured bacterium. RNAcentral describes it as "partial 16S ribosomal RNA". It matches the Rfam family "Bacterial small subunit ribosomal RNA", at positions 28 to 507 of the family's 1533-position model. The record is from RNAcentral.
GACGAACGCUGGCGGCGUGCUUAACACAUGCAAGUCGAACGGAAAGGCCCUGCUUGCAGGGUACUCGAGUGGCGAACGGGUGAGUAACACGUGGGUGAUCUGCCCUGCACUUCGGGAUAAGCCUGGGAAACUGGGUCUAAUACCGGAUAGGAGCCAUUUUUAGUGUGAUGGUUGGAAAGUUUUUUCGGUGUAGGAUGAGCUCGCGGCCUAUCAGCUUGUUGGUGGGGUAAUGGCCUACCAAGGCGGCGACGGGUAGCCGGCCUGGGAGGGUGGACGGCCACAUUGGGACUGAGAUACGGCCCAGACUCCUACGGGAGGCAGCGGUGGGGAAUAUUGCACAAUGGGCGCAAGCCUGAUGCAGCGACGCCGCGUGGGGGAUGACGGCCUUCGGGUUGUAAACUCCUUUCGCUAGGGACGAAGCUUUUUGUGACGGUACCUAGAUAAGAAGCACCGGCUAACUACGUG